Chrysoperla carnea is the source of this 271-nucleotide long non-coding RNA. RefSeq lists it as uncharacterized. The transcript is spliced from 2 exons. Lineage: Eukaryota; Metazoa; Arthropoda; Insecta; Neuroptera; Chrysopidae. The record is from RefSeq and is a predicted model, not a curated record.
GUGAUAAAUUAUUUAAUAAAAACCGUGACUUAAUUCGACAUGAACGAAUUCAUACUGGAGAAAAACCUUAUUCAUGUGAAGUGUGUGAUAAAAGAUUUAAUAUAAAAAGUACUUUAACUAAGCACAAACGAAUUCAUACCGGUGAAAAACGUUUUACAUGUAAAGUGUGUGAUAAAUCAUUGACUCAAAAAGACAAACACCCUUAAUUCAACAUGAACGAAUUCAUACAGGUGAAAAACCGUUUUCAUGUGUAAUGUGUGAUAAAACAUUU